Molecule: ribosomal RNA, 805 nt
Filed under: Arthrobacter sp.
Lineage: Bacteria; Bacillati; Actinomycetota; Actinomycetes; Micrococcales; Micrococcaceae
Description: bacterial SSU rRNA
Rfam family: Bacterial small subunit ribosomal RNA
Source: RNAcentral
CGAUGAUCCGGUGCUUGCACCGGUGAUUAGUGGCGAACGGGUGAGUAACACGUGAGUAACCUGCCCUUGACUCUGGGAUAAGCCUGGGAAACCGGGUCUAAUACCGGAUAUGACCUGUUACCGCAUGGUGGCGGGUGGAAAGAUUUAUUGGUUUUGGAUGGACUCGCGGCCUAUCAGCUUGUUGGUGGGGUAAUGGCCUACCAAGGCGACGACGGGUAGCCGGCCUGAGAGGGUGACCGGCCACACUGGGACUGAGACACGGCCCAGACUCCUACGGGAGGCAGCAGUGGGGAAUAUUGCACAAUGGGCGCAAGCCUGAUGCAGCGACGCCGCGUGAGGGAUGACGGCCUUCGGGUUGUAAACCUCUUUCAGCAGGGAAGAAGCGGAAGUGACGGUACCUGCAGAAGAAGCGCCGGCUAACUACGUGCCAGCAGCCGCGGUAAUACGUAGGGCGCAAGCGUUGUCCGGAAUUAUUGGGCGUAAAGAGCUCGUAGGCGGUUUGUCGCGUCUGCUGUGAAAGCCCGGGGCUCAACCCCGGGUCUGCAGUGGGUACGGGCAGACUUGAGUGCAGUAGGGGAGACUGGAAUUCCUGGUGUAGCGGUGAAAUGCGCAGAUAUCAGGAGGAACACCGAUGGCGAAGGCAGGUCUCUGGGCUGUAACUGACGCUGAGGAGCGAAAGCAUGGGGAGCGAACAGGAUUAGAUACCCUGGUAGUCCAUGCCGUAAACGUUGGGCACUAGGUGUGGGGGACAUUCCACGUUUUCCGCGCCGUAGCUAACGCAUUAAGUGCCCCGCCUGGGGAGUAC